CGCCCUUCCCCAUUUCCCCCACACCCUUGGCCGCAGCCCCCCCUCCCAUUUCCUCCUCCCUCAAACCAUUGCAGCCACACCACCCUAAACCCUAGCCGCCCCCCCCUCUCUCCAAGGUGAAGCCCUCCCACCUGGUUCUCCGUCGUGUGGCGAUCUCAAUUGGAGUUUGGAGGGAUAAAGAAGGAAGGAGAAAGGUAAGAAUCCAAGGUGAUUUUUGUGUUUAUCUCUUGUUCAUUUGUGCUGCAAUCCAAUUGAUUAGAUGUUGCGUAUGCGAUUUGGUAGAAGGGCUGUCCAGAAUUUUAGGGGGUGGACGAACAGCAGCAGUAUUAGUGGUUUCUGGGCAUUUUCGUGGGAAAUUAAUGGGAAUCAGUUUAGGAAUCAUGUAGAACUUUGACAUACCUUUCCAACAAGUAUUUAUGCGCUCAAUUUGGAGUUAUAAAUUAAAAGAUAUCACCGUUUGAAUCCGGGUAUGUGGCUGUCAAAAAAAUAGAUUUUCAGGUGGACGAACAGAAGCAGUAUUAGUGGUUUCUGGGCAUUUUUCGUGGGAAAUUAAUGGGAAUCAGUUUGAGAAUCAUGUAAAACUUUGGUAUACCUUUCCAACGAGUAUUUAUGCGCUCAAUUUGGAGUUAUAAAUUAAAAGAUAUCACCGUUUGAAUCCGGGUAUGUGGCUGUCCAAAAAAACAGAUUUUCAGGUGGACGAACAGCAGCAGUAUUAGCAGUUUCUGGGGAUUUUCCGUUAGUAAUUAGUGUUAAUCAGUAUGAUAAUCAUGUAGGGCUUUUUCUUACAUUUCCAACAAGUACUUAUGCGCUCAAUUCGGAAUUAUAUUUUAAAAGUUAUCGCUGUUUGAAUCCGAGUAUGUUGCUGCCCAAAAGAGAAAAAAAAACAGAUUGCAGGGUUUAUCUUGUGGACCGUUUUGGGGUAGUUAGAUGUUGGAAUUUAAUCAUAAAUUGUAUACAAAACUUAUGGGGAAUUUUAUGUAGUUGUCUCUGGAGUUUUUGUUUGUCAUCACUGCUGGCUUAAUUUUAAAGUUAUGGAAUUGUUAAGCAGCGCCGCUGCAGUUUGGUGAGUGUGGGGAGAAUUGUUACCGGCGGCGGGGUUUGAGACUGCGCGUAGGUGCGGCGUUGUUUUUGAGGCUUAUUAUGUGAAUUUGGUGCACUAAGUUGGGUGUCAAAAACAGGUGAUGGACUUCCGGAUCGUACUUAGGGAUUUUCCCAAACUUCCGGUAAAGGCA
Molecule: long non-coding RNA, 1232 nt
Filed under: Zea mays
Lineage: Eukaryota; Viridiplantae; Streptophyta; Magnoliopsida; Poales; Poaceae
Description: long non-coding RNA (ZMAY_LNC002274)
Source: RNAcentral